UGAACGACUCUCGGCAACGGAUAUCUCGGCUCUCGCAUCGAUGAAGAACGUAGCGAAAUGCGAUACUUGGUGUGAAUUGCAGAAUCCCGUGAACCAUCGAGUCUUUGAACGCAAGUUGCGCCCGAAGCUUCUGGCCGAGGGCACGCCUGCCUGGGCGUCACGC
This 163-nucleotide ribosomal RNA is filed under the name Glinus oppositifolius. Its description in RNAcentral is "5.8S ribosomal RNA". It matches the Rfam family "5.8S ribosomal RNA". Rfam says of the family: 5.8S ribosomal RNA (5.8S rRNA) is a component of the large subunit of the eukaryotic ribosome. It is transcribed by RNA polymerase I as part of the 45S precursor that also contains 18S and 28S rRNA. Functionally, it is thought that 5.8S rRNA may be involved in ribosome translocation. Lineage: Eukaryota; Viridiplantae; Streptophyta; Magnoliopsida; Caryophyllales; Molluginaceae. The record is from RNAcentral.